This 438-nucleotide ribosomal RNA is filed under the name uncultured bacterium. RNAcentral's name for it is "partial 16S ribosomal RNA". It matches the Rfam family "Bacterial small subunit ribosomal RNA", at positions 339 to 795 of the family's 1533-position model. The record is from RNAcentral.
CUACGGGCUGCAGCAGUGAGGAAUAUUGCACAAUGGGGGGAACCCUGAUGCAGCAACGCCGCGUGGAGGAUGACGCAUUUCGGUGUGUAAACUCCUUUUAUAUGUCAAGAAAAUGACGGUAGCAUAUGAAUAAGCACCGGCUAACUCCGUGCCAGCAGCCGCGGUAAUAGGAGGGUGCAAGCGUUACUCGGAAUCACUGGGCGUAAAGGACGCGUAGGCGGGCUUGUAAGUCAGGUGUGAAAUCCUACAGCUUAACUGUAGAACUGCACUUGAAACUACGAGCCUAGAGUAUGGGAGGGGGAGAUGGAAUUAGUGGUGUAGGGGUAAAAUCCGUAGAUAUCACUAGGAAUACCUAAAGCGAAGGCGAUCUCCUGGAACAUAACUGACGCUAAGGCGUGAAAGCGUGGGGAGCAAACAGGAUUAGAUACCCCUGUAGUC